Molecule: long non-coding RNA, 5116 nt
Filed under: Fukomys damarensis (Damara mole-rat)
Lineage: Eukaryota; Metazoa; Chordata; Mammalia; Rodentia; Bathyergidae
Description: lncRNA (ENSFDAG00000021843.1)
Source: RNAcentral
AUGCUCAUGCAUUUGUACUCCUUUUCCUGUCCUUGUCGGAGUGCUGAGGGUUGUUUGUCUUUGGCUCCUUCUCUUUGCACCCCAAAGUUCAUCCACUGGGAAUCAUUUUCUCAAGGAGGAAUUCAUCACUCAUAUUCUGAUGAGUCCGCUGCCGACGGCAAAAUGUUGACACCCCCUGCGAACGGGUUCUCUCUGAGGGCAUGGCCACCAUGGAACGCGCUAUUUUACCCCAACAGCGAAAAUCAGCACCACCAGCUCAGCCCCUGGUUCAGACAGCUGUGUUUUCUUCUGGAGUUUGGGGAAGCUGACAUUCACAGUUCAUGACUGUGGCUGAAACCAAGAAGAAUAAGUCUCCCCUCACCCAACAUCUCUCAACCCUGGAAAAAGGCAGCAAUGUCCUCACAUCUGGGCCAAUGUUCCAGAGAGUUUCUGUACAAAUUUGUACCAGCGCUAGCACUGGUGAGACGUUCUUCUGCCCUGUUAAAGAUCAGGAUGCUGAGUUCCUUAUUUAACGGAGCACAGGAAGCGUUUUGAUGCUUGGUAGGAGCUCACUGCUAUUCUAAGUGCUAAGACAACUAGGGCUCCUGUUUUCAAAAAACUUAAAUUUUAAGGAAAACAGGUCAGAAUGAAUAAGCAAAUAAUGCAAGACAAUUACUGAAUGUCAGGAUUGCUGUGCAUCAGUGGACACAGAAACGAGAGGGACAACUUCUGGGUGGGGGUUAUCUGUUUAUUGAUGGGCCUGUCUGAUAGAAAUGUGACCUAAAUAUGACUACAGGAUACGAAGAAUCCAGCUCUGCCUUGGUCCCUGAAAAGAGCUUUCUAGGGAGAGGGGAGAGCACGCUGAAAAGUCUUGAAGUGAGAAUGACCUUGGGAUAUCAGAAGAGCAGAACAGAGGCGGUGUAGCCGGUGCAUGGAGACAUUUGGGAGAUGCAGGAGGAGAGGAAAUCAGAGGAGGCAAGAACCGGGUCAGAACCCUGAGACACUGGGCCCAGCUUGGGCUACAUUCUGUAUUCAGGAGGCAACGUGUGUGAGUUUUAACCGUGGACAAGUCUUGACUUGAAUGCUUUUAAUGUUUUCAAAGAACAUUUUGGCUAAGAAUGUUGAAAAGUUUUAAAUUUGCAGCUGGAAAGUACCAAUAAAUCUUUAAUCCCUCGUUUUAUGUUUUCAGAUGGAAAAACUAGAGUUCACAAAAACAAGUAUUUAUUCGAAAGGCUUACAUUUUGUUAAAAGUAAAAGCAGACCUGUCAUGUAAAGGUACAAGAUCCCAGUAAUGAAUAUAACUGUACUGUAUACCUAGAAUAUAGCAAUAAACUCAAUUUAAAAAAAAAGUAAAAGCAGGAUCUAAAAUCAAAACUUUGGUCUCGGCCUACGCUCUUUACACUCAAGUGCCGCAGACUGAUUAGAAUCACACAGGCUGUCCUGAUUGUUUAAUCACAGGAGAACUUAUUAGACAAAGUAGCUCCUCAGAGCUCCCGGGCCUGAGGAUGGCCCAUCUACUGGCCACUGUAUCUGCCUUGACCUUUUUCUCCUGUUCUGUCUCUCUCCUAACUGAUUUGUCUUUCUGAGAGCAGCAGAGAACAGCAUGCCUGUAUCCUGGUGCCAUUCUGAUGAUCCAAGUUUGCUCAUUCUGAAGAAGGCAGUGGGUUUCCCGAAGCGCUGGGGAAAGUGUUCUCCCCAGGCUCUACCCAGCACACCGUCCUGGGGCCAUCAAUGUGCACUACUUCAGCCUCAGACACAUAGAGCUGCUAUUAAGUCUCCCUCCCCGUCACCCCUUGGAAUAAGAGACUGGACAGAAGUAUGCACCCCUCCUCUCUUUCCAAUCCUGCCUGCAUCAGUCCUCAAAUCUUUCUCUGCCCAAAUAAAAAUUUAACAAGACAAAACCUACGCAUUUUAAUUUCUACAAUUAGUUGCCUUAAGGUAUCCUUUCCUGUUUCUUAGCUUUCCAAAGAGCCCAAUUCUGGAUCCUAUUCCAUAUCCAAAAAGACUCCACACUAAAUGAGAACCAAGGAAAACAUGGCUGCCUGUGGAUGGGCUUCUGACAGUCCCCAGAGUCCUUCUGCUGUGGAGUUAGCAUGUAAAGUCUUGCUUUUCAGGUAGCUGUUACUGCGGCUGUAUUUUUCUGUGACGUAAGCAGUGCCGUGCCUGCCCAGAGAAUGGUGCAAAGAAGGAUUUCUUGCUGGAAAGACUUCUUAAUAAGUCAUUGCCUGAGGAUGAGGUGGUCCUUCUUAAUGUACAGAGGAAGAGCUCAGUCACUAGAAGGUAUUUACGGCCUGGGAAAGUGAGCACUUGGCCCUCAGCCAGGCUGACCCACUGACAGGGAGGGUCUGGAGGAGCCGCACAUGGUGGUUUCUGUCUGCCACUGAUUUUUCAGGGAACAGUCACAAGUUGCACCAUCGCACCAGGGAACUGAAAGCUUGAUGGAGCAGGGUUUGGGAGCACAGGUGUUUGGGGUAAUAGAAGGAGCAAGAGAGGGAAUGCCUGAAGGAAAGGAGCUCUGAGACAUUCCCGAGUGUGCGCAGGGCCCUUGUGCCUGUGGACAAUGCUUCUCUGCAGAAUUUGGAAAUGAGAUUGAUGGUCAAACCAGGACUAUAAGACACACAAAGAGAGGGGCCAGAGACUUAUCUCAGUGGUUCUGCCUCCUGCCUCGCAAGCACAAGGUCCUGAGUUCAAUGCCCAGUACCAAAAAAAAAAAAAAAAAAAAAAAAAAAAAGAGAGACACACACACACACACACACACACACACACACACACAAAGAGUAUUUGUAUUUCGAUUAUCAGACAUUUAUGCCUUUUCUUUUCAGAAUGCAGGAAAAGGGCAAGAGGAAGAUCGGAGGAAUAGAAGAGCAAGAGGAAGGGUAUAAAGGAUUAAGGAAAAGAGGCGCUUCUAAUCAUGAAUUACAAAAGGUAGAGAAAGUUGGAAUCUAGAAGCUUGACAUGUAUACAUCAUUCAUUAGUCUAGUUAGCUUGGGCCAAAUCUAGUCAUCUUUGCUUUCAAACUCUAGGGAACGCUAAGAAAUAGCUCUUUCUUGUAUCCUGUGAUAUAUGGAAAUUGCACAAUUUCCUGAGCUCCUGUUGGUUUUACCUACCACACAGGCAUGGUUCUGGGCUGCUACCUCCCAAGCCAUGGACCCCCAUCAAGGAGUUACUUGCUCUCUGCUCUCUGGAGAGGAGGAAGACCAUGGCAAACAGGAGCCAGAAGGGAAUGUUUUGCUUUUCUGCUCCCUGGGAAGCACUGCUCUGAGAGUCUCUAGAGCAUAAAUUCAGAAGUGCCCCACCCCAGUGUUUGGGGGAUCUUUUUCACUCCAGUGUCUCAUAGAACAAUGCAUGCACUCUUUCCCAAUACAAUCUGUGUUCAGACGUGAUUUAUACCAAUGUAUCAGUAUAAUUUCCUCCCAUCUGUGCUGAGAUGCUAAGUUGAUACAAAUGAAUUGCUAAUGAAAAAUUUAAAUACAGUACUCGCCGGCCUUCUAUGGAAGUAUGUGAUCAUCUACAAAUGGUAAAAUCAUCCCUCAUAUGGUCUUUAAGAUCCUAAAUGAUCUGAUUUCUGUUUAAGUCCCUACAUUUUAUCUCAUUACUUGCUCCUCCCCUACCUUCUCACGACACUGGUCACACAGCCAGUGCAUUUGCUCUUUCUUUUUGAAACUGUCUCCCUUUUCUCUUCACACAGGUGAGACUUUACACCUGAGCUCACCUGCCUUUUCUCACAGGGAUCUGCCCUGCUUUCUCAGACCAGGUCAGGUCUUCCUACUGCUACCACGGGCACUCACAGAACAAGGUGCCGCACCCUAGCAUUACGAUUAGAUCUGGAUGGAUAUCAUUCGGUAAAUUACUAUUUAGGAAGACUUAAUGGUAACUCCUACACAACUGUAUUAUCAGAAUCAAGAAAUUGUCACUGAUGCCACAGAGCUGAACUACAGACUGGGUUUAUAGGUAUAUCAAUUGGCGUGUACUGUCUGUGUGUGCAUAUGUAACUAUGAAAUCACUUCACGUGUACAGAUUUAUGUCACAGCACAGAAACGGUGCAUGGAAUCAUUCCAUCACCACAAAGAAAUUCCUUAAUACUACCCUUUUAUAGUUACAACUAUGAAUGUCUAUGUUAUCUAUUACUGCAAUUUUGUCAUUUCUAGAAGGUUUUAUAAACAGAUUUGUAUAAUGUAUAAAUUUUUGCAGUUGACUUUUACAUUCAAUAUAAUACCCUCAUGUUAUGGCCCUCUUAUAGAAACAAAUUGGACAUCUGACCACAAAAUGUGGCUUGAAUGCCAAUUACAGACCAAAAAGAUGUGGAAAUAUUCAUUCUCUUAUGAUAGGCUUUCUGGAGAGAACAGAGCAGGCUCCCAAAUAGGCCAGAAUCUCACUUAAGAAAGAAAAGAGGAAAAAUUACUUUUGCCUUUCACUGUGGUUUGGCAAUGGACCUAGAGUGAUGGUUCCUAUAUGUAGCUCAGGGUUUGUGUGGCUUGAACUUUCCACCAGUGUCAAAUGAACAAAACCUCUCAGUAUGCAAACAGUAGAAAUGAUGUCAGAUACUGCUAUGGCUUGUUUCUAGAUGCCCUCCCCCCAAAGCCUCAUACACUCAUAGGUGGGACUUUUGAGAAGUGGCUGGAUCUAGGCUGUGUGUGAAAAGUAAAUGGACUUAACAUAGUUCUGGGUGUGAAUAAAGGAAGCCCCAGCCUGGGUGUGCAUGGCACCAAUCGGGGCUUCUAGCCUGGAUGGAAUACAAAGCCAGAGAUGGGAUGCAGGCUUUCUACUCACUGCUUGCUGCUGGUACCUCCUGCCUGCACCGCUAUGAACUUUUCCUUUUCCAUGAUGCUCUGCUUUGCAGCCAGCAAACUAUAAAGUGAAUCCUGCAUAAACUGUGAGACAAAAUAAACUUUUCUUUAACUUGUGGGUAUCGAGUAUUUUGUCUCAGAAAUGAGAAAUGUAAAUAAGACAGGUAUUUUCUUCCGCCUUUCAAUUCAUCCAAGUUGUUGUAUGCAUUAAUCACUCACUGUUAUUACUAGGUGUUUUUCUAUUGUAUGGUUGGAUUACGAUAUGUGCAUCAAAUCACCCUUGUAAGUGCACUGUUUGUCAAUUUGGACUAUUUCAAGUGUGGGUCUUAUGAACAUUUAUUUACAGGCUG